ACAUAUUAGUCGGGGUGCCAUAGGCUGAGAUAAUACCCGUGAACCUGAAACAGUUAACACUGACGUAGGAAACUAAAUGAUGAAACCA
This 88-nucleotide non-coding RNA is filed under the name Pseudohaemophilus sputorum. RNAcentral's name for it is "Haemophilus sputorum TPP sequence". It matches the Rfam family "TPP riboswitch aptamer (THI element)". From Rfam's summary of the family: Vitamin B(1) in its active form thiamin pyrophosphate (TPP) is an essential coenzyme that is synthesised by coupling of pyrimidine and thiazole moieties in bacteria. The previously detected thiamin-regulatory element, thi box was extended, resulting in a new, highly conserved RNA secondary structure, the THI element, which is widely distributed in eubacteria and also occurs in some archaea. Lineage: Bacteria; Pseudomonadati; Pseudomonadota; Gammaproteobacteria; Pasteurellales; Pasteurellaceae. The record is from RNAcentral.